AUACGUAGGUGACAAGCGUUAUCCGGAUUUACUGGGCGUAAAGGGCGUGUAGGCGGUCUUGCAAGUCAGGUGUGAAAUGCAGAGGCUUAACCUCUGAAUUGCAUUUGAAACUGUUUUUCUUGAGUACUGGAGGGGCAAUCGGAAUUCCUAGCGGAGCGGUGAAAUGCGUAGAUAUUAGGAGGAACACCAGUGGCGAAGGCGGAUUGCUGGACAGCAACUGACGGUGAGGCGCGAAAGUGUGGGGAGUAAACAGGAUUAGAUACCCUGGUAGUCCACGCUGUAAACGAUGAAUACUAGGUGUGGGGGGACUGACCCCCUCCGUGCCGCAGUUAACACAAUAAGUAUUCCACCUGGGGAGUACGGCCGCAAGGUUGAAACUCAAAUGAAUUGACGGGG
Molecule: ribosomal RNA, 396 nt
Filed under: uncultured bacterium
Lineage: Bacteria
Description: partial 16S ribosomal RNA
Rfam family: Bacterial small subunit ribosomal RNA
Source: RNAcentral